RNAcentral lists this ribosomal RNA (817 nucleotides) under uncultured Bacteroidota bacterium. Its description in RNAcentral is "bacterial SSU rRNA". It matches the Rfam family "Bacterial small subunit ribosomal RNA", at positions 66 to 897 of the family's 1533-position model. The record is from RNAcentral. Lineage: Bacteria; Pseudomonadati; Bacteroidota.
GGGGGCAGCAAUGUCACCGGCGAACGGGUGCGUAACGCGUAUGCAACCUACCUACAUCAGGGGGAUAGCCCUAGGAAACUGGGAUUAACACCGCAUAACAAUAGAGUUGGCAUCAACUUUAUUUGAAAUAUUUAUAGGAUGUAGAUGGGCAUGCGUAGGAUUAGCUAGUUGGUAAGGUAACGGCUUACCAAGGCUACGAUCCUUAGGGGCUCUGAGAGGAGUAUCCCCCACACUGGCACUGAGAUACGGGCCAGACUCCUACGGGAGGCAGCAGUAGGGAAUAUUGGGCAAUGGAGGCAACUCUGACCCAGCCAUGCCGCGUGCAGGAAGACGGUCCUCUGGAUUGUAAACUGCUUUUGAAUGGGAAGAAUGUGUGGCUUGCGAGCUAUAAUGACGGUACCAUUAGAAUAAGCCACGGCUAACUACGUGCCAGCAGCCGCGGUAAUACGUAGGUGGCGAGCGUUAUCCGGAUUUAUUGGGUUUAAAGGGUGCGUAGGCGGCUUAAUAAGUCGGUGGUUAAAAGUAGCAGCUUAACUGUUUUACAUGCCAUCGAUACUGUUGAGCUUGAGAUAUUUGGAGGCAGCUAGAAUUUCCGGUGUAGCGGUGAAAUGCAUAGAUACCGGAAGGAAUACCAAUUGCGAAGGCAGGUUGCUACGAAUAAACUGACGCUGAUGCACGAAAGCGUGGGGAUCAAACAGGAUUAGAUACCCUGGUAGUCCACGCCGUAAACGAUGAUUACUAGUUGUUGGGGUUUAAGCUUCAGUGACCAAGGGAAACCGAUAAGUAAUCCACCUGGGGAGUACGCCGGCAACGGUGA